Molecule: long non-coding RNA, 5455 nt
Filed under: Hordeum vulgare
Lineage: Eukaryota; Viridiplantae; Streptophyta; Magnoliopsida; Poales; Poaceae
Description: long non-coding RNA (HVUL_LNC012778)
Source: RNAcentral
GCAGUCAAACGUCGGAUCUCUAGCAAGGUUGCAAAGAUCAUCGAUGAAUAUCUGGAUGGGUCCUCAGCAUUACAUGACAUGUUUUUUCCUGCUGAAACAAUUGUUGUGAACCCAACAAAAGGCGGAAAUGAUAGCAUGUACUUUUAUCCCGAUAAGGUAUGGCUGGACACUGAUGGAAAUACCAUUCAAGCCCAUGGUGGUGGGAUUCUGUAUGAUCACAAUACCGCGACAUACUAUUGGUACGGAGAAAACAAAGAUGGACCAACCUAUCAAAUUCACCCCGAAGGGGCACAACGGGUCAGUACAAAUUUCUAAUAAAAUAACAGCCUUAAGCAGUCUUUGUUUUUCCAGCAACCUGGUCGGUCGUGACUAGUUUUUAUUACCUGUUGUUUGUUCGUGAUUGAUUGCUGCUUAGUAGGUUGUGCACUGAAACUUGCUUCUGUUUGCAUGGGUGUGGUCCAGCUGCUAACCGCUUGUUAGAGGCUUAUAACACACUUUUAAAGGUACUCUCUGAAUUUUUCUAUUCGUUUUGAUCACUUUGUUUCUCAUUUGAAUUUAUUAGUUUGAUUCAAGAAUCAUAAUAAACAUAUAUACAUCGAGGAUAAGAGUAUUACUGAGCCCUGGCUAAAAAUUAUGCUAAUUUGUGGCGUCUGAUGCAAUUUAUCUAGAAUCGUUUUUCAUGAAAAAAUUCUUAUGAGGAUAAUCUUCAAUUGUCCACUAACUUAACUAGAUAAUUUCUACAUUAUCUUUAUGUGAAGAAUGCAUAGUGUAUUUCUUAUCCUGUUGCACCGUGGAGGAAGAAGAAAAAUCCCUGAAUAAUCUAUUUUUGAGUUUUGAGGGCCACUUUUUAUAUCAAUUUAUUCACUUAUAAUACAGAAAUAGAUAACAUAUCAUCAACUGUAGCACUUGGAUGAACUAUAUUAUACCCAAACAGGUUUGUUUCAUGAGUGAACAGGUUACGGUCUCAAUUUUGCAAGGAAACUGAAGAAUGGUCAGAAAAUUUACGUUCAGGUGCCCUCCUCAUAGUCGGAGCAAGGAACAAAUGAGUUUUUGGAUGAAGCAUGAGUAUUAUAUCCAACAUAAUCCAUCACAACUCCAUAUAUAAUUGUGUUGAGGAAGUCUAACUUUCCGUUUCAUUUGACAAGUAUGUAUAUACACGUGUUUAGAUAUAAGGUGCAUACUAUAUAGGACAACAUUGUAUGUAAUUUUUUAAUCAUCUGAAAGAAAUCAUUGGCAGUUUGUGCACUUCUUUCAUCGCCGGUUAGCCAUCUUUACUACUUGAGUGAAAAAUUCUGAGCCAUCCCCAUAAGUGAUCAUAUAUGUGAGUCCAUUGUAAUAUCACAAUCAUAUAUCAACAACCAAGAAAUUAACUGUGCUUUUCUUCUCAAGAAAUUUGUUUCCAACCUUUUUAUGCUCUUUGAUACACUAUGACCUGUGAUGCACCAUCUUUUUUUAUGUUUCAGAACAAAACCCUUGUAGUACAUAUUAUUUUGAUUUUGACUGACGCUAACUGCGGUUAUAAGAUGAAUUGUGGCGUCAUUUCCUUUUUUAUGUUUUAGAGUAAAUCUCCUAUAGAUCAAUUUUAUAUUUUUAUUUGAUCCUCUGCUAAUUGCAGUAAUGUACUAUAGAUGAAUGGACACACUGAAGGUCCCUUUGGCUGUGGAGCGCGCCACCCUUGACGACAUCUUCGUGUGGGAGUGGUCUGGUUCUGCCUACGACGAAGGGGCUGAAGCAGCUGAAUGGUUCUCUGCCUAUUUCAGGAAGCCAUAUCCCCUCGUGCGGUUUAAAGAAGGUGCAUACCUUGUGGUGUUCUUUAACAAUCACAAAAAAUACCUUGGAUGCGUGUGUAUUUAUUCAGAUUUUUUUCUCAUUGAGAUCAUCUCUGAUACUUAUGGAGAAUGUCCGUUUUUCAUGUCCUUUGGAGAGACCGAAAUCAGGCAGACUAAUCACGAGUAUGCUCAAGGUUACAAGCUCACAUUUGAGGAUGCCUUCCCGUUAUUGAUAGCAUCCCAGGUAAUUGUUUGCCUAUGUAAUAUGAACUAUGAAGGCUAUGUGCAUUGCUUCUAUACACAAAGCUCAAGCUGACAGUCCAUAUAAUUUGUAGGGCUCACUGUGUGCACUAAAUGAGAUUCUUAAAGGACUUGUACCAUUCAAUCGCUUCAGACCAAAGUAAGCAUCACACUGUAGUUUCAUUGCGAGAAGUAGCAAGAGUAGGUUGCUUCAAUCCCGAUGGUUUGUUUGUUGUUUGGCAUUAUUCAACCACAUAUGUUUACCUCUUCCUGAUGGCCUUGGUAACUUGAAAAUCAGCAGUGCCAUAUUGGCUCCCUCUAGGAUAUGUUUGGUGGAUUGAUCUGCUUUAACUAGCAAAUAAUAUUUUUGUACUAUUAUGAAAAACUGAGCUAUCUGCACUCCAAGGAAGUUUGAGAAAUACUUAAUAAAUCCCGUUUGUUUUCGUUGUUCAAUUAUUAGAAAAUACAUGAAUCUCUGUCAAGAAGUAUAAACCCUCUGAAUCUUGCUACGCUUAAUUUUUUGGAUCUUGUCAAUACAGAACAUGCUCAAAUUUUUACCUCACGACUAAACCAUACUAUCACUGUGUGCAGCAAUAGCCCCACACAGGUUAUUGAAGAAGUAAAGUGCGUCCUUGCAUUUAAUAACCUGCUAACUGUACUGAGCAAGCACCCUCAAGGCGAUCGAUUUGCACGUGGGCUUGGACCUAUUUCAUUAGGUAAGUUAGUGAAGAUCUUUGAAUUCAUAUGUUAAUGAGCCUUUGUUGUUGUUUGUAUGUUGAUAAGGUGGUCUAUCCUUAUGGAUUCUUAUUUUUGUCUUCUGCAUGGAUUGUCUAGCGGGAGAGCAAGAUCAUGAUAGGAGGGCUAGUGAUCCAAAGACAUUCUAUAGGGCCUAUGCAACAGAUGUACUUUCACAUGGACAUGUUGAUAAUGAGAAGGUGAUCACAUGUUAUUCACAUUUUGUUUAGUUAGCUGAUGUUCCAUAUGAGAUGGCAAGCUAAAAUAAGUAAUCAAUAAUUCCGUCGGUGUCUUAUGAAAUGGUUAACAUAGAUACCUAUUAUUGUAAAGCAUAUUUAUUUAAGUAAACCAGUGCAAGUUUGCAAGGCUAUAGGAUUUGGAAAAUACACUCUGGAUAUUAUGUGGACAAAGUUAGUCUAUUGACCUAUUAUUGUGAAGCAUAUUGAUUUAAGUAGACCAGUGCAAGUUUGCAAGGGUGUAAGAUUUGGAAAAUACAGUGUGGAUUUUAUGUGGACAAAGUUAGUCAGUUAGUCUAUUGACAUAUUUGGAUUACAAACAACAGUCUAUAGAUGGUGCAGCUUGUACUGCUAUAGCUUGCAUUGUGGAAACUGUUGUCUAUGUCUGAAAGUGUUUGCACCUAGGUGGAACAGUAACUCCAUGCCUGUCUAUGUCACACAUAUUCUUUUUUUGUAAUUCAUAUUAUUGUUCACACCAUGUUAGAUGCUGAACUAAACAAAACCAACUGCUACCUGCUAUUGUUAAGGAAUAAUCUGUGUAGCCUAGACCUCGCGCUGCAUUGCCUCGCCGACGUCUCCCAAGACCCCUCGGUGCUCUCCCACGGUAACCUCACCGCGCGGGCAAGCAUCGCCAUCGUCCGUGGCGAUCUCGCCUCAUCCGUCGACCGGUACACUAUGGGUUUCAUCUGCUGACCUGCUGCUGCUGUAGUUGUCCGGAGGCUCCUCGGAGACAGAUCGCCCAUCACGCAGCAGAACCGGUAGGGGGACAGCCUCAACCGCGACGAGGAGAAUGGCAGGAUCCAACAUAAGGUUUCUAGCCCACCCAUUUUGCCGCACUGGAUUAGGAAAUGCUUGCUCAUGCCUGGUGCUGAUGGUUGGUUGGGGUUCUACAGACUUGGCGGGGAUCGUGGAUUUCCUCGGCAUCUCGGCUUCAGUCGACACUGAGGUGAUUCAGGUGAGAGGAAUGCAUCUCUUUGUUCUUUGAGGCUUUCAUUUUCUAAGUAUCAGCUUUUGUUACUCACAGAUGACAGAUCUCUGGCGUGUAGUGUUGUAAGAAUAGCAAACUCAGAUUCAACGUGUCUCAUCUUUUGUGUUGUGUAUGUUGUGCUCUUCUCUUGCUUCUGUUACUACAGGUGUAUUUUUUUUAUAGAGAUUAAACAUGGUAAACAGGCCAUGAUAAUAUGCAAGAUCAAAAAAUGUCAUUAUCGUGUCGAAACAAACCUAGGAAGGCCAUCUUUCUAUUCGAAGGCGUAAUUGAGUGCUAAUGACUAGGUGCAUUCAAUCAAUUCGGCACUUCGGCAGUUUCAAAAAAUUAUACGAUUUUAUUAAUUUGUUUCAAGCUAAUCAUUUUCUGACAUUUGGGUUCACACUUCAAAUUAAGGUAGCAAUUAGGUUUGAAUCUGUGUGGUCGGGUUGGCACCGUUGCAUGCCCCAUUGAUGCAUGUCUGCGCCCCAUGAUAGUUCUCUAUUACAACUUUACAAGUUACCAAUGUGAUCAUUCUCUCCUUUAAUAUGCGCUAGAUAAAAUUGGUUGAGCAGAUUCUUGGUCUACUUGCUCAAUUUUUUCUUGAUUUUUAAUGUUUGGCUAAUACUUGUCAUGAAUAUACUACCGAAUAAGGGUAUGUAUAUGAUUAAGUUGGAACUUCUUCGCUCAUUUGAUCCACACUCAUCCAUGAUUAUUCUGUUUUAUUACUUUUCUUUGCUCUCCAUGGUUAAAUGUUUCAACGUUUUACAUGCAUGUAAAGCAUAGUGGAUUUAUUACUGCAACUUUCUUAUGAAGGUUAGUAGAGGGAGAUGGAAGAUGAGGAAUACACACCGAAAACCAUCUAUUCUCAACUUUGAUGCUGGAUGUGGAUCUUCCUUAUCUUUUAUUGUAAUGGGCUUGGUGGGAUGCACCAUCAUUGUCGGCCUAUUUUUCAUCAGCCAUCAAGUAAACAAUUGGCAUGCCCAUAGCUAUUCCAGCCAUCUGCCUGCCACCAGAGAAUUGGAAGAGGUUGAGGAAGAGCACUUUCGGUUGCCACCUUCUCACAAGGUGAAUCCUCAUGCAGUGAAAAGUGCAGUCAAACGUCGGAGAUCUAGCAAGGUUGCAAAGAUCAUCGAUGAAUAUCUGGAUGGGUCCUCAGCAUUACAUGACAUGUUCUUUCCUGCUGAAACAACUGAUGUGAACCCAACAAAAGGCGGAAAUGAUAGCAUGUACUUUUCUCCCGGUAAGGUAUGGCUGGACACUGAUGGAAAUGCCAUUCAAGCCCAUGGUGGUGGGAUUUUGUAUGAUCACAAUAUCGCGACAUACUAUUGGUACGGAGAAAACAAAGAUGGACCAACCUAUCAAAUUCACCCCGAAGGGGCACAACAGGUCAGUACAAAUUUCUAAUAAAAUAACAGCCUUAAGCAGUCUUUGUUUUUCCAGCAACCUGUUCUGUCGUGACUGGUUUUUAUUACCUGUUGUUUGUUCAUGAUUGAUUGCUUCUUAGUAGG